UGGGGAAUAUUGCGCAAUGGGCGAAAGCCUGACGCAGCGACGCCGCGUGAGGGAUGAAGGCCUUCGGGUCGUAAACCUCUGUCAGGAGGGAAGAACCGGCACCGUGCUAAUCAGCGGUGCUCUGACGGUACCUCCAAAGGAAGCACCGGCUAACUCCGUGCCAGCAGCCGCGGUAAUACGGAGGGUGCAAGCGUUAAUCGGAAUCACUGGGCGUAAAGCGCGCGUAGGCUGUUUUGUAAGUCAGGGGUGAAAUCCCACCGCUCAACGGUGGAACUGCCUUUGAUACUGCGAGACUUGAGUACGGGAGAGGGUGGCGGAAUUCCAGGUGUAGGGGUGAAAUCCGUAGAUAUCUGGAGGAACACCGGUGGCGAAGGCGGCCACCUGGCCCGUAACUGACGCUGAGGUGCGAAAGCGUGGGUAGCAAACA
This 427-nucleotide ribosomal RNA is filed under the name uncultured Desulfovibrionaceae bacterium. Its description in RNAcentral is "partial 16S ribosomal RNA". It matches the Rfam family "Bacterial small subunit ribosomal RNA", at positions 355 to 774 of the family's 1533-position model. Lineage: Bacteria; Pseudomonadati; Thermodesulfobacteriota; Desulfovibrionia; Desulfovibrionales; Desulfovibrionaceae. The record is from RNAcentral.